UACGUAGGCGGUUUACUAAGUCAGAUGUGAAAGCCCCGGGCUUAACCUGGGAACUGCAUUUGAUACUGGUAGGCUAGAGUAUGGUAGAGGGGGGUAGAAUUCAUAGUGUAGCGGUGAAAUGCGUAGAUAUUAUGAGGAAUACCAGUGGCGAAGGCGGCCCCCUGGACCAAUACUGACGCUGAGGUACGAAAGCGUGGGUAGCGAACAGGAUUAGAUACCCUGGUAGUCC
This 229-nucleotide ribosomal RNA is filed under the name uncultured bacterium. RNAcentral's name for it is "partial 16S ribosomal RNA". It matches the Rfam family "Bacterial small subunit ribosomal RNA", at positions 568 to 796 of the family's 1533-position model. The record is from RNAcentral.